Molecule: ribosomal RNA, 230 nt
Filed under: Escherichia coli
Lineage: Bacteria; Pseudomonadati; Pseudomonadota; Gammaproteobacteria; Enterobacterales; Enterobacteriaceae
Description: partial 16S ribosomal RNA
Rfam family: Bacterial small subunit ribosomal RNA
Source: RNAcentral
AAGUCGAACGGUAACAGGAAGCAGCUUGCUGCUUUGCUGACGAGUGGCGGACGGGUGAGUAAUGUCUGGGAAACUGCCCGAUGGAGGGGGAUAACUACUGGAAACGGUAGCUAAUACCGCAUAACGUCGCAAGACCAAAGAGGGGGACCUUCGGGCCUCUUGCCAUCGGAUGUGCCCAGAUGGGAUUAGCUAGUAGGUGGGGUAAAGGCUCACCUAGGCGACGAUCCCUA